Molecule: ribosomal RNA, 497 nt
Filed under: uncultured bacterium
Lineage: Bacteria
Description: partial 16S ribosomal RNA
Rfam family: Bacterial small subunit ribosomal RNA
Source: RNAcentral
GACGAACGCUGGCGGCGUGCCUAAUACAUGCAAGUUGAGCGAUGAAGAUUGGUGCUUGCACCAAUUUGAAGAGCAGCGAACGGGUGAGUAACGCGUGGGGAAUCUGCCUUUGAGCGGGGGACAACAUUUGGAAACGAAUGCUAAUACCGCAUAACAACUUUAAACAUAAGUUUUAAGUUUGAAAGAUGCAUUUGCAUCACUCAAAGAUGAUCCCGCGUUGUAUUAGCUAGUUGGUGAGGUAAAGGCUCAACAAGGCGAUGAUACAUAACCGACCUGAGAGGGUGAUCGGCCACAUUGGGACUGAGAAACGGCCCAAGCUCCCACGGGAGGCAGCAGUAGGGAAUCUUCGGCAAUGGACGAAAGUCUUACCGAACAACGCCGCGUGAGUGAAGAAGGUUUUCGGAUCGUAAAACUCUGUUGGUAGAGGAGAACGUUGGUGAGAGUGGAAAGCUCAUCAAGUGACGGUAACUACCCAGAAAGGGACGGCUAACUACGUG